Molecule: ribosomal RNA, 496 nt
Filed under: uncultured bacterium
Lineage: Bacteria
Description: bacterial SSU rRNA
Rfam family: Bacterial small subunit ribosomal RNA
Source: RNAcentral
GACGAACGCUGGCGGCGUGCCUAACACAUGCAAGUCGAGCGGGGUUGAGGCGAGAGGUAACUCGAGCUUCUACCUAGCGGCGGACGGGUGAGUAACGCGUGGGCAACCUGCCUCAAGGUUUGGGAUAACAGCCCGAAAGGGCUGCUAAUACCGGAUAUGCCUAUGGCCUCGCAUGGGGCUAUGAGCAAAGGGGAAACCCGCCUUGAGAUGGGCCCGCGUCCCAUCAGCUAGUUGGUGAGGUAACAGCUCACCAAGGCGACGACGGGUAGCCGGCUUGAGAGGGUGACCGGCCACACUGGGACUGAGACACGGCCCAGACUCCUACGGGGGGCAGCAGUGGGGGAUCUUGCACAAUGGGCGAAAGCCUGAUGCAGCGACGCCGCGUGAGCGAAGAAGGCCUUCGGUUGUAAAGCUCUGUCUGGAGGGACGAACAAAAUGACGGUACCUCCGGAGGAAGCCACGGCUAACUACGUGCCAGCAGCCGCGGUAAACGUGU